CUAAGGUGGAAAAAAGAAAAAAAAAACAAUAAAAUGUAAUACAGCACAUAUACAUGAUUUUAACCAUGUCUCAUCUCAGGUAAAAUUAUACGGAAUUACAGAGUUUAUUCUGUAAUAUCUGUGUAGUAUAUUUAUUAACAUUCUGUUGCACUUUACUUCACUGUGUAUAUUGUAAUAUUACCCUUUAACGGCGCCUUAUAUAUUUCUUAUUAGGCUAGUCAACAUUACAAAAGAUAACAUCAGUCGUCAGUUCUAGUGGCGCAGAUGGUAAAACGCGUGGAUUUCACAUUUUGACGCGAUCGACGCAGGUUCGAAUCCGCCUUUUAGCAAAGUUUUUUCUCCCUUUUCAAAGUUCAAAUCACAUCAAAAAAGCAUUUAUUUUCAAUAAAAAUUAAGGAAAUAAUCAAAAAGUUUUGAGGGAGGGCUUUAUUGUCCCAAUAAGGUGAUAUCCAUUUAAUAAUUUGAAUUAAAAUUAUAAUUUACACUCAAUAAGUUAUUAUUGAAUACUGUUUUAUAUUGUAGUACAAUACUGAGGUGCAGAUAAUUACCACUGUUUGCAAUAAGUAGUUUAAAUUGCAGAAAAUCCUGCUAUCACUUAGUGCAAAUAGCUGAUGCCUUUCUUAUUUUAAUCUGUCCUCUGUCAUGGUUCUUGUUUAUUUAUUUAGUAUCAUUUUGGACAUUUUCUUUUGCUUUGGCAAUUCUGCAUGUGAAAUAUUUAAGCCAAUAAAGUAGUUUUAAAUUCAGUUGACUACAUACAGUAUAUUUUCAGUGUCUGCAUCCUAUUUUAUGCAUGGUGCCUCCAAAAAACCAAACUGAUAACAGUGAUCUUUUUUUUAUUAUUAUUAUUUCAAAGAACAAAACAGAAAAUAUAAUUGUAUAUACAAAUAUAGAUUAAGACCAUAGACUAUAAACAUGACACAUGAAAAAGAAAAAAAAAUUGCAUCUGCUCAUUCUGAAAUUCACCUCCAUCACAAUCAACAAUCAACCGAGCAGUAGCCCUCAAAUUCUUUGAAUGAAUAAAACCCACACAGGACUCCCCUCCUGUCAUUCCUGACAUACGCAGGUGGGCAGUCUUUAAAUACAGUAUCUCACUGCACCGUAGGCACUGGGUCUGUGAAUACGGCACCCAGCACUCCUGUCUGUAUUGUGCAGAAAAUGCACUCCAGUUCACGACACCUAAUUUACAUAAAAGAACAAACAAUAUUAAAUCAUUUUGAGGAAAGGCAAAAGAGCCAUACAAGGAAAAUAUUUUAAAUGUAUUUUUAAAUAUUAUAGGAUGGUGUUAGAAAAAGUGUUGUUUGCUUUGUCUGUAAAGUACCUAAGAGGUUUAAUUUAUAAUCAGCAUUAACCAACUAAAUUAAAAAAGUUUGUCAAGUCAAAAUUUAGGUUGGCUUGGCUUGAGAAAGCAUAGCCUGAAACAAUUUGAAAGUUUUACAGUUGAGGGCAAUACAGUCUUUUUAGUUUUUUUACAAUCAGAAAAAGAAAAAAAAAGAAAAAGAAAAAAAACAGAUAGUUGAGAUGAGACAGACAGACACUCAAAUAUGUUUUACAGUAUUCACUACAUGUUAAGGAGUUAAAGAACUAUCUGUCUAGACAUAUGAAGUGGGCCUCUUCUCUGAAUUUCGUCUCACUGACAAUGUCCCUAAAAAGUCAUAUGAACAUGAAGGUAAAUUUAAGAGGUAACACUUUACAAUAAGGUGUCAUUGGUUAACACUAGUUAAUGUAUUAAUUAACAUGAACUAACAAUGAAUAAUACAUUUGUUACAGUAUCUAUUAAUUUUUGAUAAUGUUAAUGAAAAGAUGACAAAUGAGAAACAUACAUACAUACACACACACAUACAUGUAUGUAUGUAUGUAUGCAUGCAUGUAUUUAUUUUUAUUUUUUCCAAUGCAUGCAAUUCAUUACUUUAUUAAUAUAAGUAUUUCUGCUCUAUUUUAAUACAUCUUUAAAGGCUAAUUUUAGGCGAAAUAAGACUUUUAAAGACCAGCACCAGAAUCCCUGUCACUUCGAAUACUAACACAUAUCAUAAAGCAUGUCAUAAAUGUUUGAAAUUGCACACAUUUGCAAUGACACUGUCUAUGAUUAAGACCAAAGCAUCCUUACAAUUAAAAGUCAACACAACACAAACGCACAAUUAUAAGAAAACAAAUGAAAGUAAAUGUACCGGAAGUGAAUGAUGCAUUACUGAACCGGCGUAUUUACGGUAAAUACAUAGGUAACGUAGGUACGUGACGUCACCGCGCUACUGCGCAUGCGUUUUAUAGACAUACCAUACGUCACUUCGCGCAUGCGCGGUAAACACAUACCUGACGUAGGUACCUGACGUCACCGCGCUACAGUCUGCAGCGAGGAGUACUUGGGCCAAUGAGCGCGCGCGUUGAGCAUUCAAAUCCCGUUUAAACUGAAGCGGAGGAGGUUACCAUAGUAACACGGCGUCAACUCACUCAGCUGACAAGUAGCCAGAAGCUGUAUCUCUGCUGUUUUCACUGCUUUCAGGAGUGGUUUAGUGUCUUCAAAAAGACCGUUAGCAUCACAACCGUUAACUAUAGAGGCUAACAAUUAGAGGAAUGUCCGAAAAAAAUACCUAAAACAGGGGAAGUUACAAAAAAAUUUGUAAUGAGAGCUGCUGACAGAGAUACAGGAAACAGAGAGCUGGAGCGGAGCGGAUCUCCUGUCAAAGAACAUCUCCAAAGCGCCAUGAACCAUCUGACUAGGCAGUUCGUGAAGACGGAUAACCUGGACAGAAGUCAGUUCAAGAUCCGGCCUCCACACCAGACUUCUCACUCACAAGGAUUGCUGUCUACUAGAUAUUAUGUGCACUCUUCAGACUUAGGUUCAUGCAGAUAUUAUUCAGGGACAUGAACACGUGAAUACUGCAAAAAUAGAGAAACUACCUUAUUUAAGAAUUUUGUGUUAAUUGCGUGAACAUUAAACAAAUAUAUAUUUAUUUUACUGGUUUUUGUUUUGUAUUCCAAAGCACCUAAAAGCCAAUUCACACUGCCAUACUCCAACAGGGUGAACACUGACCAAGCAAAACA
This is a long non-coding RNA of Onychostoma macrolepis, 3039 nucleotides long. RefSeq lists it as uncharacterized. The record is from RefSeq and is a predicted model, not a curated record. Lineage: Eukaryota; Metazoa; Chordata; Actinopteri; Cypriniformes; Cyprinidae. The transcript has 5 exons.